CAUUGAGAAGCUAUGCAACAGCACUAGCCUUUUAAGCUAGCCAAAGAGGAAUUUCCCCCUCCUCAAUGA
RNAcentral lists this transfer RNA (69 nucleotides) under Melanitta perspicillata (surf scoter). Its description in RNAcentral is "tRNA-Lys". Lineage: Eukaryota; Metazoa; Chordata; Aves; Anseriformes; Anatidae. The record is from RNAcentral. RNAcentral also lists the same sequence under 2 other names.